This is an RNA transcript of Periophthalmus magnuspinnatus, 1891 nucleotides long. It is a transcript of the gene named crystallin, zeta (quinone reductase)-like 1, with no coding region annotated. The transcript has 16 exons. The record is from RefSeq and is a predicted model, not a curated record. NCBI's taxonomy places the organism in Eukaryota, Metazoa, Chordata, Actinopteri, Gobiiformes, Gobiidae.
AUAAAUAAACAACAGAAAAACCGGAAGAGUCGAAUUUGAAACGCAAAUCAUCUAAAAUCACACAUUUCUUUGACUUUAGGCUAAAAAUGAAAGGACUGUUCUGUCGAGCGAGCGGACGUGAUGGAGAACUGCAGUUUGUGAUUCAAGAGACGAGUCUCCCGGAGCUCGUGAGUGGACAUCAGGUCCGUGUGGAAGUCCAGGCGUGUGGACUGAGCAGCAUCGACCUCCAGCUGUUGAGGGAGAUGAAGAUUGAGCGAGAGUUGAUGUCUGUUGGUCGAGACAUCGCUGGAGUCGUUAAACAAGUGGGGUCCAAAGUGUCUCUGUUCCAGCCGAACGAGGAGGUCGUAGGGAUUCUUCCUCUCGACUGUCCGUUCUCCGGGCUCUGUGGAGUCAUCGACGUUGAUGAACAUUAUUUAGUCCAUAAACCGGCGCAGUUGAGUCAUGUGACCGUGGCGGCGGCGUUGCGUGAUGCCGUGUCAGCGUACACCGCUCUGCACACUCUGGCUCACAUGACGGCGCGGCACAGCGUCCUGGUGGUGGAUGGAGCCAGUUCGUUCGGUCUCAUGUGCGUCCAGCUCGCCUGGUACCACGGCCUGAAGGUCCUGACCACGUCGCACUCUCCACAGGACCACACCUUCCUGGAGCAGCUCCGCCCGACUGUAGGCGUCCAGGAUCCUCUCGUAGCCAGAGUGAUUCCAGUCUUCAAAAGCCCGUCCAGCCUCGUGCCUCUGGUCCUGGAGGAGACUGGAGGUCUGGGCGUCGACAUCGUCAUCGACUCUGGAGUGCAUCUACACGAGGAGGAAGAAACUGAUUUCACGCCCCACAAACACGACCUCAUCGACGCGCUCGCUGUCGGGGGUCACUGGGUCACGUCUCACCCGCAGCUGCAAUUGGACCCUCCAGACUCCAGCUACCUCCACCUGAAGUCGGCCUCUGUGUCGUUUCUAAACCCCGAAGUCUGGACCACGUCGUCUGCGCAGCACGGAAGAUAUCUGCAUAUUCUCAAGGACAUUGUAGAUAAAAUGUCUACAGGAGUGUUGAGGCCGCGUCCAGAAGAAGCGUUACCGCUGUACGAAGCCACUGUCGCCAUGGAAACCAUCCAGCAUCAUCCAAAGAGGAAGGCGGUGGUGAAACUCUCAACCAUGGACUGAUUUUAUACUUUUAUGGUGGACAACGGGGGCGUCCCGAGCUCAAACGUGGCAUUAAAUGCCGCGUCCAGAAGAAGCGUUACCGCUGUACGAAGCCACUGUCGCCAUGGAAACCAUCCAGCAUCAUCCAAAGAGGAAGGCGGUGGUGAAACUCUCAACCAUGGACUGAUUUUAUACUUUUAUGGUGGACAACGGGGGCGUCCCGAGCUCAAACGUGGCAUUAAAUGCCGCGUCCAGAAGAAGCGUUACCGCUGUACGAAGCCACUGUCGCCAUGGAAACCAUCCAGCAUCAUCCAAAGAGGAAGGCGGUGGUGAAACUCUCAACCAUGGACUGAUUUUAUACUUUUAUGGUGGACAACGGGGGCGUCCCGAGCUCAAACGUGGCAUUAAAUGCCGCGUCCAGAAGAAGCGUUACCGCUGUACGAAGCCACUGUCGCCAUGGAAACCAUCCAGCAUCAUCCAAAGAGGAAGGCGGUGGUGAAACUCUCAACCAUGGACUGAUUUUAUACUUUUAUGGUGGACAACGGGGGCGUCCCGAGCUCAAACGUGGCAUUAAAUGUAAAUAAAAAGGUGCAAAUCUCCUGCUUCAGACCAGUCUGUGUGUCGACAAUCUGCCAUGUGCAUAAUUUAAAUAAAAACAUGAAUAUCUCAGUGUUGAUAUGAAAGAGCCAUGUUACACUGAUCUGUCCUAAUGUUGUUUCCUCAUCACAAACAGACCUGGAGUUGUGUUUUGUUUCAUUGUU